UACGUAGGGUGCAAGCGUUGUCCGGAAUUAUUGGGCGUAAAGAGCUCGUAGGCGGCUUGUCACGUCGACUGUGAAAACCCGGGGCUCAACUCCGGGCCUGCAGUCGAUACGGGCUGGCUUGAGUGCGGUAGGGGAGACUGGAAUUCCUGGUGUAGAGGUGAAAUUCGUAGAUAUCGGGAGGAACACCAGUGGCGAAGGCGGCGACCUGGGCCAAUACUGACGCUGAGGUGCGAAAGCGUGGGGAGCAAACAGG
Molecule: ribosomal RNA, 253 nt
Filed under: uncultured bacterium
Lineage: Bacteria
Description: partial 16S ribosomal RNA
Rfam family: Bacterial small subunit ribosomal RNA
Source: RNAcentral